This 412-nucleotide ribosomal RNA is filed under the name uncultured bacterium. Its description in RNAcentral is "bacterial SSU rRNA". It matches the Rfam family "Bacterial small subunit ribosomal RNA", at positions 8 to 422 of the family's 1533-position model. The record is from RNAcentral.
AGAGUUUGAUCCUGGCUCAGAUUGAACGCUGGCGGCAUGCCUUACACAUGCAAGUCGAACGGCAGCACGGGAGCAAUCCUGGUGGCGAGUGGCGAACGGGUGAGUAAUAUAUCGGAACGUGCCCAGUCGUGGGGGAUAACGUAGCGAAAGCUACGCUAAUACCGCAUACGAUCUAUGGAUGAAAGCGGGGGAUCGCAAGACCUCGCGCGAUUGGAGCGGCCGAUAUCAGAUUAGCUAGUUGGUGGGGUAGAAGCCCACCAAGGCGACGAUCUGUAGCUGGUCUGAGAGGACGACCAGCCACACUGGAACUGAGACACGGUCCAGACUCCUACGGGAGGCAGCAGUGGGGAAUUUUGGACAAUGGGCGCAAGCCUGAUCCAGCAAUGCCGCGUGCAGGACGAAGGCCUUCGGG